Molecule: ribosomal RNA, 424 nt
Filed under: Actinella lentiginosa
Lineage: Eukaryota; Metazoa; Mollusca; Gastropoda; Stylommatophora; Geomitridae
Description: partial 16S ribosomal RNA
Rfam family: Archaeal large subunit ribosomal RNA
Source: RNAcentral
UUCUGCUCAAUGGUUUAUCUAAAUAGCCGCAGUACCCUGACUGUGCAAAGGUAGCAUAAUCAGUUGGCUUAUAAUUGAAGUCUAGUAUGAAUGAAUAAAUGGGUAAAAUCUGUCUCACAAAAAUAACAAAAACUUACUUAGGAAGUGCAAAUUCUUCUAAAAAUCUAAUAGACGAGAAGACCCUAGAAAUUUUUUAAAUAUAAUUUAAUUUAUUUAAUUUUGUUGGGGCGACAGAGUAACAAUUAACUUACUUUAAGUAUCAGAAUUCGAUUUUAUGAAAAACUAAAUUACUCUAGGGAUAACAGCAUAAUUUUAAUAAGUUUGUGACCUCGAUGUUGGACUAGGAAACAUAUUAUUCAGAAGAUAAUAUGAAGUGCUCUGUUCGAGCUGCUCAACCUCCUACGUGAUCUGAGUUCAGACCGGA